This 1346-nucleotide ribosomal RNA is filed under the name uncultured bacterium. RNAcentral's name for it is "partial 16S ribosomal RNA". It matches the Rfam family "Bacterial small subunit ribosomal RNA", at positions 28 to 1381 of the family's 1533-position model. The record is from RNAcentral.
GACGAACGCUGGCGGCGUGCUUAACACAUGCAAGUCGAACGGAAAGGCCCUGCUUUUGUGGGGUGCUCGAGUGGCGAACGGGUGAGUAACACGUGAGUAACCUGCCCUUGACUUUGGGAUAACUUCAGGAAACUGGGGCUAAUACCGGAUAGGAGCUCCUGCUGCAUGGUGGGGGUUGGAAAGUUUCGGCGGUUGGGGAUGGACUCGCGGCUUAUCAGCUUGUUGGUGGGGUAGUGGCUUACCAAGGCUUUGACGGGUAGCCGGCCUGAGAGGGUGACCGGCCACAUUGGGACUGAGAUACGGCCCAGACUCCUACGGGAGGCAGCAGUGGGGAAUAUUGCACAAUGGGCGGAAGCCUGAUGCAGCAACGCCGCGUGCGGGAUGACGGCCUUCGGGUUGUAAACCGCUUUCGCCUGUGACGAAGCGUGAGUGACGGUAAUGGGUAAAGAAGCACCGGCUAACUACGUGCCAGCAGCCGCGGUGAUACGUAGGGUGCGAGCGUUGUCCGGAUUUAUUGGGCGUAAAGGGCUCGUAGGUGGUUGAUCGCGUCGGAAGUGUAAUCUUGGGGCUUAACCCUGAGCGUGCUUUCGAUACGGGUUGACUUGAGGAAGGUAGGGGAGAAUGGAAUUCCUGGUGGAGCGGUGGAAUGCGCAGAUAUCAGGAGGAACACCAGUGGCGAAGGCGGUUCUCUGGGCCUUUCCUGACGCUGAGGAGCGAAAGCGUGGGGAGCGAACAGGCUUAGAUACCCUGGUAGUCCACGCUGUAAACGGUGGGUACUAGGUGUGGGGUCCAUUCCACGGGUUCCGUGCCGUAGCUAACGCUUUAAGUACCCCGCCUGGGGAGUACGGCCGCAAGGCUAAAACUCAAAGGAAUUGACGGGGCCCCGCACAAGCGGCGGAGCAUGCGGAUUAAUUCGAUGCAACGCGUAGAACCUUACCUGGGUUUGACAUGGAUCGGGAGUGCUCAGAGAUGGGUGUGCCUCUUUUGGGGUCGGUUCACAGGUGGUGCAUGGCUGUCGUCAGCUCGUGUCGUGAGAUGUUGGGUUAAGUCCCGCAACGAGCGCAACCCUUGUUCACUGUUGCCAGCACGUUAUGGUGGGGACUCAGUGGAGACCGCCGGGGUCAACUCGGAGGAAGGUGGGGAUGACGUCAAGUCAUCAUGCCCCUUAUGUCCAGGGCUUCACGCAUGCUACAAUGGCUGGUACAGAGAGUGGCGAGCCUGUGAGGGUGAGCGAAUCUCGGAAAGCCGGUCUCAGUUCGGAUUGGGGUCUGCAACUCGACCUCAUGAAGUCGGAGUCGCUAGUAAUCGCAGAUCAGCAACGCUGCGGUGAAUACUUUCCCGGGGCU